Molecule: RNA transcript, 3641 nt
Organism: Harpia harpyja (harpy eagle)
Lineage: Eukaryota; Metazoa; Chordata; Aves; Accipitriformes; Accipitridae
Exons: 8
Source: RefSeq, a predicted model, not a curated record
CAGGAGACCAAAUUGGGGGGCAGGAGGUGAAGCUGGGGGGCAGGAGGCCAUGUUGGGGGGGUGGAGGCCACGUUGGGGUGCCAUGCAAGAGGCCUCGCCGCAUUUCCGUCACGGCCUUGACCACCCACGGCGAGGGAGGACCUGAAAUGUCCAAUCAGCGAGGGAGGACCUGAAAUGUCCAAUCAGGAUGAGGGAGGACCCGAGAUGUCCAAUAAGGACGAGGGAGGACCCGAGAUGUCCAAUCAGGACGAGGGAGGACCCGAGGCGUCCAGUCAUGACGAGAAGCAAACAACCAAUAGGAGCCCCAGGAGCAACGUGGCGGCGCCGGCGGCGCAGCCGGCCACCAAUGGGAUGAGCUGAGACCGGGCUGGUUGAGAGAAGAGAGACCGCCAAAAAAAAAAAAAAAAUAAGGUGAAUUGGCCGGUGGCGACGGUGGCUUUGGCCUCGGGGAUGUUGAAGAGCGAGCGGUCCUUCGUGGCCGUCUCCGAAAAUUGCUCGGCGCCGUCUUUGUAGAAGAAAAAUUUCCGUUGGGCGGCGGGGCCGUUGGCCACGCAGGUGAAAGUCAUCACCGCGGAAAGACGGAGCUCGUCCUCACGAGAAGAUGAAGUUCAUCGUCGCGAGGCGAAACGCUUUGUCGCCAAAAGACGGAGCUCGUCGUCGCGAGGCGAUGAAAAGCAUCACCGCGAGGGGAUGAAAUUCAUCUUCACAAGGUGGAACUCAUCAUCAUGAGAAAAUAAAACUCAUGAGAAGAUGCAACUCCUCGUCACGAGAAGAUGAAAUUCAUCAUCACGAGAAGAUGAAACUCAUGCGAUGAGAAGAUGCAGCUCAUCGUCACGAGAAGAUGAACUUCAUCGUCACGAGAUGAAACUCCUCGUCACGAGAAGAAGAAACUCCUCGUCACAAGAAGAUGAAAUUCAUCGUCAUGAGAAGAUUAAACUCUUGAGAAGAUGCAGCUCAUCAUCAUCAUGAGAUGAAACUCAUUCUCAUGAGAAGAUGAAACUCAUCGUCACGAGAAGAUGAAACUCAUUCUCAUGAGAAGAUGAAACUCCUCAUCAAAAGAAGAUGAAACUCAUGAGAAGUUGCAGCUCAUCAUCAUGAGAAGAUGAAAUUCAUCGUCACGAGAAGAUGAGACUCAUCGUCACGAGAAGAUGAAACUCCUCAUCAAAAGAAGAUGAAACUCAUGAGAAGUUGCAGCUCAUCAUCAUGAGAAGAUGAAAUUCAUCGUCACGAGAAGAUGAGACUCAUCGUCACGAGAAGAUGAAACUCCUCAUCAAAAGAAGAUGAAACUCAUGAGAAGUUGCAGCUCAUCAUCAUGAGAAGAUGAAAUUCAUCGUCACGAGAAGAUGAGACUCAUCGUCACGAGGAGAUGACUCUCAUCGUCGUGAGAAAACAAAACUCGUCGUAAGAAAAUGAAACUCCUCGUCGUGAGAAAAUGAAACUCCUCGUCACAAGGAGAAGAAAUUCAUCGUCAUGAGAUGAAACUCAUCAGCGUGAGAAGAUGAAUCUCAUCGUCGUGAGCCUCCCGAACUCAUCCGCCACCUCAUUUUGGCGAGCCUGCGGGUCCACCAAGACCUCGGAGCUCAGGAACAGCUUUUGAGGGUGGGGGUCGGCCAUUUCAGAAGACCCAGAGGCUGCGUCUAAGCGAUUUCGGUUGUCCUCCGUGGGAGAGGGACGAAAACCGGCUGGUUUCAACCAUUUUUCCGCUACUGUUUUCCCCAAUUUUGGAAUCUUUGGCCUGAAUUUGAGGGUACAUUUCUGAAGACCCCCACCCCUCGCUGGGAGACCCCAGGGCGGACCUACCCUUCACGGUAACGUCCACCGCUUCGCUUCGGGGUGACGGCACCCACGUCCCGCCCACCUCCUCCUCCACCUCGCAGCUGAAUUUCCCGCUGAAGCUCCUGGGGCUUUGCGGGAAGAGGAGCUCGGAGGAAUUCCCAGUGUUCCUGGUUUUUGAGCCCGCUUGGCCUGGUGGGAUCUUCACCCCGUUCCUGUAGAAGCCAAACCUCAACCUGAAGUCAUCUCUGGAGGCGACGCAGGCUGGAUUCAUCCCCAAAACCGUGCCGCUACCUUUCACGAGGACUUCCACGGCUUGGCUGGGGUAGGACGGGAUCCAGCGCCCUUCGGUUUUCUCGUCGUAACCGCAGAAAUGAAACCUCCGCUCUGCAUCCCCCGCCGGGGCCGUGCAGAGGAAGACGAGGGGUUGGCCUUCGAUCGUGACGCCGGUUGAAGAAUUCAAGACCAACGUGGGUUGAGGCGGAUGGUCUGAAGGUGAAAGAAGAAACCCCAAAAUCGGCGGGUUUAGGGGCUCAGCUCUUUCGCCGACCCAGUUCCGUCUCCGUGGACCUCAACGGGGAGCUGAGGCGGUAAAUUUGGCUUCGCGACGUUCACAUUUCAGGAGAAAAAGUGCCCGUUUGGGGCUUGGAGGAAAGGACGUGCCGACGGACGGCGGCGGGAUGGAGAAGUCGAGGGGGGAGGAGGCAAAGGGGGCAACGUCUCGCCUACCUUUAACGCUGAGGAAGACGAAUUUGCUCUCCUGGGAGCGGACGGGUCGGCGGAACUGGUUGACGACGGUGUACGUGCAAGCGUGCGACCCCCCGUCCUUCGGCCCCGUGACGUUGAAGCGGGGGCCACGCAUCGGAUGGAGAUGGCAUCUCCGAUGAGAUACUCCGUUUUCUCCGGCGUCACGGUGAUGUUGGGAGGAGGAGGAAGGUCUGGGGAGGAAGGGUUUCGGGGCGGGGAGGAGGGGAGAACGUGAGUCUACGCGCCGCAGGUGGGAGCUGGGAGAUGUCUCCGAGCCUUUGAGGUGAGGUGGGACCUGGUUGGACGCGACCGCCGUCGCCUUGGUGCCAAGGUGGGGGAGAUCUUUUUGAGGGCCCCGAAUUAUUGAGGUCAAAAGAAGGUUUCCACCCCAAAAUGCUCCUCGAGGAGGGGCGGGGUUGGGUGGCCUUCAUGGGUUAUUUGUCCUACCAGAGCUAUCGACUGGGCCGAGAAGCCAAGCUUGGACCAGGUGGAGGAGAAACAACCCGAUUCACCUCAAAAUUGAUAUUUUGGUGGACGGAGGAGCUCAGGGAGGAGCAGAAACCACCCGAUUCUUCUCAAAAUUGGUAUUUUGGUGGCUGGAGGAGCUCAGGGAGGACCAGAUGGAGGAGAACCCACCCAAUUUACCUCAAAAUUGGUAUUUUGGUGGCUGGAGGAGCUCAGGGAGGAGCAGAAACCACCCAAUUCACCUCAAAAUUGGUAUUUUGGUGGCUGGAGGAGCUCAAGAGAGGAGCAGAAACCACCCGAUUCUUCUCAAAAUUGGUAUUUUGGUGGCUGGAGGAGCUCAGGGAGGACCAGAUGGAGGAGAACCCACCCGAUUCACCUCAAAAUUGGUAUUUUGGUGGCUGGAGGAGCUCAGAGAGGAGCAGGUGGAGGAGAACCCACCCGAUUCACCUCAAAAUUGGUAUUUUGGUGGACGGAGAUUUCAUCGCCUGGAUCGUCAUCGAGGUCCCGCCGACCCGUUGCGCCCACGGUCAAACCAACCGGGGGGUUUGUUCCGCCACGAGCCUCGUCGGCUCAGGUGGUUGGGUGACUCCCGAGCCUGGUGGCACGGCCGUCACAUGAGCCCGGUUGCUACGGAACGGCGGAAACCAACAGCGAAA